This 76-nucleotide transfer RNA is filed under the name Candidatus Margulisiibacteriota bacterium. RNAcentral's name for it is "tRNA-His". It matches the Rfam family "tRNA". From Rfam's summary of the family: Transfer RNA (tRNA) molecules are approximately 80 nucleotides in length. Their secondary structure includes four short double-helical elements and three loops (D, anti-codon, and T loops). The record is from RNAcentral. Lineage: Bacteria; Bacillati; Candidatus Margulisiibacteriota. RNAcentral also lists the same sequence under 1 other name.
GUGGCUGUAGCUCAGUUGGUAGAGCCCCGGAUUGUGGUUCCGGUUGUCGUGGGUUCAAACCCCAUCAGUCACCCCA